CAGGCGGCGACCCCGUAUCUCGAUUCCGUAUCUCAGACGGCCACUGCGCGCGCUCAGGCGGCUGUUUUAGCCCUUCUCGGUCCACCGCAUUCUGCGCCAAACUCCGCCAAACGCAAUGUCAACCCAGCCCGUUGAAAGAACCCGCUGUCAAACGAACAUUAUGUGUCUAAUAUACAGAUGGUCGUACCCCGAUCGAUGCAAAAAGGUUUGUCUUUCCACCUCUUGUUGUCUGCUUCUUUUCUCCUUUUGUUUUGACAUCUUUCUAUCUCAUCAUCACUAUCUCCGAACGAACGCUUCUGGCAACCUUCGGGCCCAUCCGUAGUAUCGCACAAUCGACCUCAACCUCAACAUACCGCCACCGCCAAUUGCCCCAAAUCGAACGACAAACGCACAUCAAACGCCGAACCGGCCCUCGGCAUUCAACCGCAGUCGGCAAUGCACCGCACACCGUCGUAGAGCAGGUUUGAACCUCAUUUUCGGCCCAAAGUAGUGAUGCGCCCAAAGAUGCGAUGCGGUGUGGUGCGGUGAUCCGGUAGACCGAACAUUGUAGAGUAGAGGACAGUACGCACGGGGUGGGAGUUGGUCACGUGAUGGAGGGAGCUAGUGAUGCGACUUUAGUGGGCAAUUGGCAAUUGGCAAUUGCCCGACACGACUCGAUAGGCUGGUUAUGCACAUGCAAGACGACGAUAGUCAACAUCGAAUGCACGGUCCGAAAAGCCGAGUCGUGGAGAGAAUUGGUCACGUGAGGUGAUAUAGGACGGUCACGACAUUUCUAGCACGUUACGACGUUUCUAGAAGUCUUUCUAGAAGGUCAGAAGUCUUCCUACAAGUCAUUCCUAGAAGCAUCCCUAGAGGUCUUCCUAGAAGUCAUUCCUAGAAGCAUCCCUAGAGGUCUUCCUACAAGUCAUUCCUAGAAGCAUCCCUAGAAGCACACUACCCAAAGUCGCUCUAGAAAUCUGAUUUCGUUCCGUCUCCACACUCCACAUCCACGUGACCAAAUCCGGCUUCGUUCUUUUCACCUCACUCACUCACUCACUCACUCCGACUUGCUCGGACUUGUUAAACCUGAUUUCCAUCAACCCAAAAGAACGCUAGCCAAAGGUUGAGUUUGGUGACGGUUGAAGGGGUCAUUGGGGACUGGUGACUCGGCGAAUGGACUAGUUUUCCAGACUCAGACUCAGACUCAGAUUCCAGACCUCCAGGCUCCAGACCUCUCACGUCUGGCUCCUCUCACGUCUGGCUCCUCCGACGUCAGAUUAUGAGUACUCCAAGCACUCAUACAGCACUGGUACCGUGCAAUGCCUCAUCCACGGACCUCCGUCGUAUCGCUCAAACUCCGGUGGGUCCAUAGAUACAGAGUUGGCGGAUGUCGAUCGCCAUUUAGGCUCAGCAAAGUGGUGGAGAGAGGAGUGAAGGGUCCGGGAUGUGGACGAUUGGGUGGAUAUGUGGGGAUUCUGAAACCACCGUUGGAAUCAGUGAGACGAGGCGAUUCCAAUGGUAUGUUUCUUGUCUGACAAAAUCCUUUCGGCUCUCCCCCCCAAACCGACCUCUCGUCGAAACUACCUCAAAAGACCCGUUCUAGAUCAUCUCCUUCAUCUACGCCGCGGAAAAACAAAUACCGCGUCACACCAUGCCGUGCCAUAGAGCCAUACGAGCUCCAGCCUUGCUCCGGGCGCCCUUUCGAUCUACAAGUGCACCGUACACACGACCAAACAGGUGGUUAUUAAUGUCCAUAUCCGCUGUCUGCAGUCGACAGUCUAUUGUAUGAUAUGUCGGAGAUGAGAGCCACUAAGGAGAAUGCAAUAUCUAUCGCCAUAUUGUCUCCUUCUAUCAUAGAGCUGUUUCUAGAGCUGUUCUGUGGGUCUUCGGUAUAGAUUAGAGGCGGUCGAGCACCCGUCCCCACAUGUCGACUCUGUGGACGUUCGAGGGCUCCGAUUCCAAUUCUGAAAGAGACAACUGGGGUUCAUUUUGCCGGCAGAAGCUCGUUUGGAACAGUCUCCGGCGGUAUCUCCAUUCCCCAUCGAGAUGACGACUCCUCCUUCCACCACUAAAGUUCAAAAGUAAUACCGCGACAAUUAACCGCAAAUAGCCUCGGCAUAUUUAAUCGUAUAGCGUCGUAUAUUCCGGCAGCCAGGGGUGGAGUCGGAGCUUUUCCGGACCACUAGUAA
RNAcentral lists this unclassified non-coding RNA (2168 nucleotides) under Yarrowia lipolytica. Lineage: Eukaryota; Fungi; Ascomycota; Dipodascomycetes; Dipodascales. The record is from RNAcentral.